CAAAACAGUGGCUUUAAAUGACAUUCAUAGUCAGUCUUCAUAUCCACAGGUUACAUAUCUGCUUAUUCAAUAAACUCCAGAUCAAAAAUAUUCAGAAAAACAGUUGGCUUUUUACUGUACCUAUAUAGACUUAGGUGUCUUUAUCUCAUUCCCUAAACAAUACAAUAUAAUGAAUAUUUACAUAGGACUUAGUUUGUAUUAGGCAUGGUACGUAUUCUAGAGUUGAUUUAAAGUAAACUGGGUGAUAUGAGUAGGUUACAUGUCAACACUGUGCCAUGCAAUAUAAGGAUUCUUGAGGGAGUUGUUAACCAGGAAAUAAACUAUUGUACAUAACUGGAACACAUUUUGGUACCUGGAAGUGAGGUCCUGAUACGGUCUUUGGGACUAUGUGAUGGGGUAAAGCUGGAGGACACAGAAGAUUGUUAAAGACUUAAGGGCCUUGAAAAUACCAUUAGUGGAAAUUUUAUGGGUUGGAAAUGGCUGAAGUAACUCACAGUGAAGGCUGAAAGGAAGUUGAGGAUAAUAUUAUUGAAAGUUGGAAGAAUGGAGAUAUUUAUUAUGUAGUGGCAGAAAAUUAAGCAACACUAUCAUCUGUAGUUACAUGGAAAUAAAACUAAUGAAAAACUAAGAUUUCCAAGAAGUGGGUACCUGGCUUCUAUCUGCCUAUAAUAAAAUACAAGAUGAGAGUGUUAAGCAACAGAAAGAAAUUUUAUAGGCAAAGAAGCUAAGACUUGCUGAGAUAAAAAUAAAACUUUAUUAUUCUAGUCUCUUCAGAUGGCAAAUGAUGCUAAAUUUAAGAAACAGCUUUUGGAUAAAGAUCAAAUCAAGAGCACUGUCAGGAAAAAGAUAGUGAUGAUAUCAAGGAUGUUAUUAUAUAGCCCCAUGUGAAGAAUUGGAUGGUUAUCUCAGCUGUCUCCAAAGAUCUUAAAGGGCAUGGAUUACAGAUAGUCUCUGCUAAAGAGUAGGGCAUUUAAGAAUGUCAAGUGUGUUUUCCUACAGUAAUUUUACAGGAUACCAAAGGUAGAGAAGGGUUUAUCUUCAUACAUUUUAUGGAUGUUGCUUUUGUCUAAAGGUGUCAAUUUCAGUAUGAUUUGUUGGAGACCUACAAAGUUUUAAGAGAAGUGUACACACAGAGAUGCUGCCAGCUUUCACUGAAAAAGACAGUAUAACUAUGAGAAGAGGCCUUUGGACUUUUGAAGCCUUCAUGACUUGAUGAUGAUGAUGAUGAUGAUGAUGAUGGUGAUGAUGAUGAUAAUGACUACUGUUGAGCCAUUACAUCCCCUGGAAGAGUGCUUAAUACAUGGAAGAGAAGGUGGAAGAGGAUACAGAAAGAUACAGAAAAAAUAUUGGAAGAAAUUGUGACAGAAUUUCCCUAAUGUCAGAAACAAACCACAGGUCUUAGAAGCUCUGAGAACACCAGCCAGGUUAAGUGUCAAGCCGACAAAAAAAAAGGCAUAUCAUAUUCAAAUAUCAGAAAAUCAGAGUUAAAUUUUUUUCUUG
Molecule: long non-coding RNA, 1500 nt
Filed under: Heterocephalus glaber (naked mole-rat)
Lineage: Eukaryota; Metazoa; Chordata; Mammalia; Rodentia; Bathyergidae
Description: lncRNA (ENSHGLG00000046371.1)
Source: RNAcentral